AGUCAUAUGCUUGUCUCAAAGAUUAAGCCAUGCAUGUCUCAGUACAAGCCGAAUUAAGGUGAAACCGCGAAAGGCUCAUUAAAUCAGUUAUGGUUCCUUAGAUCGUACCCACAUUUACUUGGAUAACUGUGGUAAUUCUAGAGCUAAUACAUGCAAAUAGAGCUCCGACCGGAGACGGAAGGAGCGCUUUUAUUAGAUCAAAACCAAUCGGCGGCGGGCUCGCUCGUCGUCGUACAACUUGGUGAAUCUGAAUAACUUUCUGCUGAUCGCAUGGUCUCGCACCGGCGACGCAUCUUUCAAAUGUCUGCCUUAUCAACUGUCGAUGGUAGGUUCUGCGCCUACCAUGGUUGUAACGGGUAACGGGGAAUCAGGGUUCGAUUCCGGAGAGGGAGCCUGAGAAACGGCUACCACAUCCAAGGAAGGCAGCAGGCGCGCAAAUUACCCACUCCCGGCACGGGGAGGUAGUGACGAAAAAUAACGAUACGGGACUCAUCCGAGGCCCCGUAAUCGGAAUGAGUACACUCUAAACCCUUUAACGAGGAUCAAUUGGAGGGCAAGUCUGGUGCCAGCAGCCGCGGUAAUUCCAGCUCCAAUAGCGUAU
Molecule: ribosomal RNA, 601 nt
Filed under: Macronychini sp. FC_B03
Lineage: Eukaryota; Metazoa; Arthropoda; Insecta; Coleoptera; Elmidae
Description: SSU rRNA
Rfam family: Eukaryotic small subunit ribosomal RNA
Source: RNAcentral